This 205-nucleotide microRNA precursor is filed under the name Oryza rufipogon (brownbeard rice). RNAcentral describes it as "MIR812 microRNA precursor family". It matches the Rfam family "MIR812 microRNA precursor family". The record is from Rfam by way of RNAcentral. Lineage: Eukaryota; Viridiplantae; Streptophyta; Magnoliopsida; Poales; Poaceae.
AUAAAGAUAAAUCCUGAUUUCCGUGUCUAACGUUUGACCGUCCGUCUUAUUUAAAAAAAAUAUAAAAAUAAUUAAAAAGACAAGUCACACAUAAAAUAUUAAUCAUGUUUUAUCAUCUAACAACAAUGAAAAUACGAAUUAUAAAAAAAUUUCUUAUAAGACGGACAGUUAAAGUUGGACACGAAAACCUAGGGUUUGUCUUUUU